This 253-nucleotide ribosomal RNA is filed under the name uncultured bacterium. Its description in RNAcentral is "partial 16S ribosomal RNA". It matches the Rfam family "Bacterial small subunit ribosomal RNA", at positions 524 to 776 of the family's 1533-position model. The record is from RNAcentral.
UACGUAGGGUGCAAGCGUUGUCCGGAAUUAUUGGGCGUAAAGAGCUUGUAGGCGGUUUGUCGCGUCUGCUGUGAAAAUCCGGGGCUCAACCCCGGACUUGCAGUGGGUACGGGCAGACUAGAGUGUGGUAGGGGAGACUGGAAUUCCUGGUGUAGCGGUGAAAUGCGCAGAUAUCAGGAGGAACACCGAUGGCGAAGGCAGGUCUCUGGGCUGUAACUGACGCUGAGGAGCGAAAGCAUGGGGAGCGAACAGG